AUGGUCGCGUCGUCGCUUAACCCGGAGGCCCCGCUCUUCAUCCCGGCAGCGUUCCAGCAGGUGGAGGACUUCUCACCGCAGUGGUGGGACCUCGUCAAGUCCACCGCCUGGUUUCGCGACCACUGGUACCACCAGCACCAGCAGCUCGACGAUAUGGUCGACUCCCUCAUGGCCUUGGAGGCCGAGGACGCCAUCGCCGUCGAGGCUUCGCAGCCGCAGCCGCCAGCGGCACUCAAGAUUGGUGCAGACGGGGUGCUCAAGGCGCUGAGCCUGGCGUCCCCAAGCCCAAAGGGUGGCUUCUCGGAGAAGCCUAGGUACACCGAGAAGCCCACCAAGUACGCCGGCAGCCCGAGGAGCGGUGGCGCACCGCGCUUCAUCCACCAGCCUCGCUAG
RNAcentral lists this ribosomal RNA (393 nucleotides) under Triticum aestivum (bread wheat). Its description in RNAcentral is "partial small subunit ribosomal RNA". Lineage: Eukaryota; Viridiplantae; Streptophyta; Magnoliopsida; Poales; Poaceae. The record is from RNAcentral.